This 432-nucleotide ribosomal RNA is filed under the name uncultured bacterium. RNAcentral's name for it is "bacterial SSU rRNA". It matches the Rfam family "Bacterial small subunit ribosomal RNA", at positions 30 to 458 of the family's 1533-position model. The record is from RNAcentral.
ACUGAACGCUGGCGGCAUGCCUUACACAUGCAAGUCGAACGGUAACGGGCCUUCGGGUGCCGACGAGUGGCGAACGGGUGAGUAAUGUAUCGGAACGGUACCUUUCAGUGGGGGAUAACGUAGCGAAAGUUACGCUAAUACCGCAUAUUCUGUGAGCAGGAAAGCAGGGGAUCGCAAGACCUUGCGCUGAUUGAGCGGCCGAUAUCAGAUUAGCUAGUUGGUGAGGUAAAGGCUCACCAAGGCGACGAUCUGUAGCGGGUCUGAGAGGAUGAUCCGCCACACUGGAACUGAGACACGGUCCAGACUCCUACGGGAGGCAGCAGUGGGGAAUUUUGGACAAUGGGGGCAACCCUGAUCCAGCCAUGCCGCGUGAGUGAAGAAGGCCUUCGGGUUCGUUAAAGCGUCUUUCGGUCCGGGAACGAAAGUACGUAU